RNAcentral lists this unclassified non-coding RNA (7300 nucleotides) under Mizuhopecten yessoensis (Yesso scallop). RNAcentral describes it as "sEC14-like protein 1, transcript variant X1". The record is from RNAcentral. Lineage: Eukaryota; Metazoa; Mollusca; Bivalvia; Pectinida; Pectinidae.
AGGCUCUAGAUGCGACGUGAGUGUUGAUCGUUUCGGGACGAUCGAGUGGGCCGGAUUAUUCAGAAAUCGUGAUGGUGCAGACGUACCAGUCACCCGUACGGGUGUAUAAAUACCCUUUCGAACUUGUCAUGGCGGCAUACGAGAAGCGAUUUCCCACCUGUAAAAUGAUUCCAGUGUUCCUCGGCUGUGAGAUCAUUUCAGAGCAAAAGUCGGAGGAUGGAGCUGAACAUGUGGUGGAGCGCAGAUGUAAACUUAGUGUGGAUGCUCCCUACAUACUGAAAAAGAUCAUGGGCGUCGAUCAUGUGUACUUCAUUCAGAAGAAUGCCCUAGACAGUCGCAACCGCGUCCUCAAAAUAGAUGCCCACAAUGAGAGUUUCUCCUCGAGGAUUAUAAUCAACGAACACUGUCAAUACUCUGUACACUCCGAGAAUCCUGACUGGACCUGUUUUGAACAGAGUGCAACCUUAGACAUCAAACAUUUCUUCAACUUUGAAAGCAUGGUUGAGAAGAUAGCCAUGAAACAGUAUGCUGCCAAUAUAAAGAAGGGUAAGGAAGUGAUAGAGUACUACAUCAAUGAGAUUCUGAGUUCUGGUGUUCCCUACACACCUCGAUGGCAGCCCCCAGAGACUGCAGCCAUGGAUAUCAAGACAGAUGACACACCGUCCCAGGACAGUGGCUUGAGGAGCCGUUCCAAUAGUGCUCACAGCCAUAGCAGUCAGUCCAGUCUGGUACUGGGGGCUACUGCUGCAACUAUAUGUACUGACAAACUCCCUAUUAACCCAGAGGGUUUGUCUACCCCUGACAAGACUGGGAAGCUGGAGGAUGUGUAUAUUGAGCGUUUCCUUGGCUCCCUGACUCCGGUACAGGAAAGCAGACUAGUACAGCUACGACAGUGGCUACAGGAAACUCACAAAGGAAAGAUACCAAGAGAUGCUCACAUUCUGCGGUUUCUAAGAGCACGUGACUUCAGUCUAGACAAGUCACGUGACAUGCUGGUGCACUCUCUAGCCUGGAGAAAGCUCCACAAUAUUGAUCAUCUACUGGAGACAUACCGACCCGGAGACGUCAUGAACCAAUACUACAGUGGGGGUUGGCACUACAACGACAAAGAUGGACGGCCGCUGUAUGUCCUCAAACUUGGGCAAAUGGAUGUGAAGGGUCUGAUGAAAUCUGUUGGGGAGGAGGUUCUCCUGAAACAUGUUUUGUAUGUGAAUGAAGAGGGGUUGCGUAGAGCAGGAGAUGCCACUCGAUCGCGAGGUUUCCCUGUGAGUGCCUGUACCUGUAUUGUUGACCUGGACGGCCUCAGUAUGCGACACCUAUGGAGACCAGGGAUACGGGCCCUGCUCAGGAUCAUAGAGAUGGUGGAGGCUAACUAUCCAGAUACGAUGGGGCGCCUCCUCAUUGUGCGUGCCCCAAGGGUGUUCCCUGUGCUCUGGACCCUUGUCAGUCCCUUUAUUGAUGAAGACACCAGGCAGAAGUUCAUGAUUUAUGGAGGAAAUGACUAUCAGGGACCUGGAGGGCUCAUUGAUUUCAUAGACAAGAAAUACAUACCUGACUUCCUGGGUGGAGACUGUUUUUGUGAUGUACCAGAAGGAGGGUUGGUGCCUAAGUCCCUCUACAAGGAGGAGUUCACAGAAAAGGCCCCAGAGGGCCCGCCCCUCAGUACAGAUAGUUUGUACCAGACCUGCCAUAUUGUCAAAGACUUUCCAAAUGAGGUGUUGAUAUGCGUCCCACAGAAGGGAUCCGUGAUUACAUGGGACUUUGACAUUUUAAAGGGUGAUGUGACCUUCACCGUGCUAAGGUGUAAACACGAGGUGUCGGGAGACCCCCUACACCAACACCACAUCAGUGGGGCCUUGGGUGGCAUUGGCUCCACACAAUACAUCGACAAAACCAUGCAAGUGGGCAUGGACCUGAGCAUUGUAGAGCCACCUCAUAUAUGUAGAGAUGGGGAUAGUGUUCAGGGAUCUCAUGUGACCAGUCAGGCAGGAAGUUACAUAUUACAGUGGAAGUACUUUGAUGCCGGGAAAGCUGUGUUUGACUUUCCACUGGCCACACACAAAUCCAAGGUCAUGUAUUACACAGAGCUACUGGAGUCUGCAGCCUUUAGAGGGUCAAUGACCAGCUUGCAGUCCAGUCACAGUGCAUUCUCCUCCCUUAGCAUUGGCACGUCACAGAGCAGUCUUUCCGCAGUCACACCCGACGGAAUCCACAGGCUAAAAAGGUGACAGAAGCUUGAAGAUUUUGAUGGAGAGUAAAGUUUUUCGGUAAGGGCUAGCUGAUUACCCUACCUAUAACACAGAGGGGACAAGUACCAGAGCUCUGAAUGUUAAGGAUGUGGCAUGUCUAGGAGUUGGUAGAAAGCUGUCUCAGUGGUUACUUGUGUUGGAUCAGAGAUCAUCAACACUGUUCCUACCUCAUCACACAGCCAGCUGACCAGGAUGUGCAGCAACAUUGGUCAGUGGUCAGACAUUGAACUGCCCAGUACAGGAAUCGGCAUUGGUCAGCUGGUGUUUAUUGUGUGUACCAUAUCUGACCAUCACAUCACAACGCCUCUUACACUGCAUUGUUUGUACAUUGUACAUUGUGAUAGUCAUUGUUAAAAAAACAGUGUUUCUGCUCCAUUCCAUACUUCUGUAAACUACACUCACUUCUCCAGUCCACCCAACUCAUGUAGUUAGGUAAAUAACACUUUUCUAGUCCACUCCACUCCCAUACCUAGUUAGGUAAAUAACACUUUUCUAGUCCACUCCACUCCCAUACCUAGUUAGGUAAAUAACACUAACUUCUCCAGUCCACCCUACUCAUAUACAGUCGAACUUCGUUAUCUCGAAGUCGACGGGGUCGUCGGAAACUUCGAGUUAUCCGAGUAUUCGAGUUAUGCGGGUUCAUAUAUUUGGUAUGAAAUUUGCUGUUUGGACAUGGCAUUAGCAGUCCUUGGUUUGUAUUUAUAGCCAAUGCUUAUAACCAAUUGAUAAAUGAUGUAUGUAAUCAAUUACAAUAUAACAAAUACAGCUAUGUUAUUUUACAAUAAACACGCUUACAAAAAAAAGUAGGGUAUUUCCGGGAAAAAAGUAUUUUCUUUUAGUGCGAUCAGAACGGUUGAACCAUUUUGUGAAUUCGUUACAAAAUAUGGACGAGCCUAGUGAUUAAAUGUUGUUUUUGGCGAGUCUUGGCAAAGUCUUUCUAGAUCUGCAUUUGUAUUUGCAACUCUGUCAAGUUUUAUCUCUGAAGUGUUACAUUUAAAAAUUGAACUAUUCCGCUGUCUCCAACCUCGUACUAUACAAUGCGGAAAUGAAAGUGUGCAAGUCUAAAACAAAUCACUAAUGAAGCGUACGCACAGUUGAUUCUUUAAAUGAAAACACACACAAACAGAUUCUUUCGUAUGUGUAACACAUUGAUUCGUUAAAGCUAAUUAUGACACCUGACACCUCCUCAAAUCGAUGUAAUCAACAGCAAUUAUCAUAUUGUUCUGAAAAUCUCUCAAUCGACUACCAAAGCUAUACUGGCCCCUGUAAAAACACGAACCCGUGAAGCUGUCCUAUGUUGUGAUUUAAACUGUUGAACUCUUUUAUGCAUGACCACGCUUUGUGACCAUUUUUCCGGUUUGGACUGUUUUAAGUUUCGUGGACUAAUCAUUAAACGGACUCCCAGGUAGUACAGAAUACGGUUGAUAAACAUUGAUGAAGUUUGUUUUCUAUUAUGAACAUCAUGGUUUUGACAGUCUGCACACUUUACGUUCUUAAGGUUUAUCAUUAAAUAUUUUUACUGAUUUCACAAAAGAUGUUCAUCAACACGGAAUGGUGACGUGCCUAAGUUUUGUUUUUUAUUUAUAUGAAAUUUGAACACUAUGAAGUAGACGAUGUUAUGAUGUUGGAUUUACGCUGUUGAAACAAAUCUUGCUUCGAGGUAUCCAAGUUUUUUCGUGUGUUUAGGCUUUGAAUUAUCAGAGUUUUAUUUACUAAGAUAAAGAAGGGAUUUGGCCGGGACCGGAGAAAUACUUCGAGAUAAACGGGAUCUUUGAGUUAUUAGAGUUCGAGAUAACGAGGUUCAACUGUACUUAGGUAAAUAACACUUUUCCAGUUCACUCCACUCCAACCUAAUUAGGUAAAUAACACUAACUUUUCCAGUCUGCUCCACUCCAUACCUAGUUAGGUAAAUAACACUUCCCCACUCCAUUCCACUCCAUACUUAGGUAAAUAACACUUCCCCGCUCCAGUCCACUCCAUACCUAGUUAGGUAAAUAACACUUCCCCACUUCAGUCCACUCCAUACUUAGGUAAAUAACACUUCCCCACUCCAGUCCACUCCAUACCUAGUUAGGUAAAUAACACUUCCCCACUCAAGUCCACUCCAUACCUAGUUAGGUAAAUAACACUUCCCCGCUCAAGUCCACUCCAUACCUAGUUAGGUAAAUAACACUUCCCCACUCCAGUCCACUCUAGCCUAUUAGGGUGAACAUCACUUGUCUAGUCCACUCCUCUUCCUAUUAAGGUAAGAAGUAUUCUUGUACACUAUUUCUGUAUGGUAACGUGCAGCAGACUUGAUCAGUUGUUUUUAAGGCUACAUAUGACAAUUGCCAGGUAAUUGGUAUCUGGCAUGUAACACAAGUUGCCUACCACAAACUAGGCUCCCGUUUGUUUUGGGUAGAAAAUGUAGUGAGUUGUCUCCCAUUGCCCAUGUGAUAAAAUGUGUAUCUGUGAUACUGUAUGUCACGCGACUACGAUUUGGUGUAGGUUGUAUAUCAACUCUGUUCCAAAAGAUAUUUUUAUAGCAGUUUUUCCCUUCUUAGUAUGGUAUUUCUCUAAAUUCUUGAUCUGAUUCUGAUACUACAUGCUGAGUAUGGGGAACAAUUAGAGGACUUUAUUAUGAACAUAGUUCAAUUAAUCUAAAAAUCCUUUGUUUCACUUUUUGCUGAUUUAUCUGUUUUACAUAUUUAGGUUUUUGAUCAAAAAUAUACUGUUGAAAAUAAUGAGGGAAAAUGAGUUACAUCAAUGAUACAAAGACAAAAUGGACAUUUGUAAGACUUUGGAGGAGUUAACCAUACUGGGUGCUGGUCUUCACAGGAUCAUACAUAUUAUAUAAUUAGUUAUACAUGUUUUUAGUUAUUACAGAAACAGGAUUUAGAUUUAUUUUUAUGUUUUAUGCAAGUUAUUUUAAUGGUAUUUUGACUGAGAAUGCAAUGCCAUUUACAGUAGAUUUCAGUUUUGAUGCUUUGUGUCCAUACUGUAAUCUAUCUGUUGUGUCGCACACUGAGACAUGUUAUACACUCAAGUGUUUCUGAAAACGAAAAAGGAAAAGACAAAAAUAAUUGGCAACAGUUUAGAUAGUUUGUCUUUUGGAGGAUUUUUGAGAGAAAAAAAUACACCUGUAGCACUGAAGACCAAGAUAUUUAAAAUAAGAUAUAGGAAAGAAAUAAGGACUUUAUAGGUAUAAAUAAGGCAAUCCCAAACCAUGGCAUUACGGUGUCAUGACAUAUCUAAGACUGAGUUACCAGUUGUUCUAGCCAUAUUACUGCUGCUACGUGUAUUAACAACAUUGUCUACUAACUCUCAGAGGAAUCGUUCAUACUUAUAUGUAGUUUGAAUUGAUUUAUAACUUAUCAAAAUGAUUUUUAGGAGGAGAUUUAUCAAGCUUGCUUGUCUACUUGAGUAGGUACCACAAUGUACCAGACCUCAUUUUUAAAAAAACUUCCCAUAGAUAUCAUAUUUUUUUACAUUAUCAUAAAGAUUUGGUUGGGAGAGGGUACAGAGUACCAGGAUGUAUUAAGGGUAUGAUCUGAUAUAAAUUUUACAUCAUCGUGUAUUAAUCAUGUUUUAACAAUCAUGUUGUGUUUGUAAGGAUAUUUGUAUUAAGAAUUUUGAUGCACAUUUUGUAAUUGUGUUUUUGUAUCAUUUUAUUCAUUUGUUAAUGAUUUAGAAAAAUACAUUGUUUGCAAAUUGAUGUUGAAUGUCUAGAAGAAAGAGAAAUUGAAUAUUAUGUUUCUUGUAAAAGAAAUAGAUGUAAAGAUGCUAUAGAUGCUAUAGAUUAGAAGUUGUAAUCUAAUUGACUGCUCGUUAUCAAACCCUCAGUGUGUCGUACGGUUACUGGUUCUAGAAGUAUCUCACUGUCUUUAAGUGAAUACAAAUGUCAUGGUAUACAAAUAUUGAAGGUCAGUAUGCCACAUAAUUGCUCUUCCAUUUUUUGCAAUGUAACUUUAUAUAUUGUUACUUCAUCUAUGAAAUGGCACUUGAUAUUUAACAGGAGUUCACAUGCACUAGAUCUCCGAUAUGUGGAGCCUGAUCGACCACAGACAUGUGAACCACCAUUACUUUCGUGUAUUUUUGCGUUAUAUUUCCACACUUUGUCACACGAGUUAUCUCCCUUCAGACAUGAUAACUCGUUCAAUUAAAGAUUAUUUAGUGCAUUACUACUUGGCAUGUAGUUUCCAAGCCAUCACUACUUAAGCUGAGUUCUUACCAAAGUGGAGGUAGGUAGCUACACCUCCAAACUGAGUUUUAUAGCUAGUAUUAAGGUCUACUUCAGUGGAUAUGAAUAUAGUGUAAAAUCAUAGAUCAAAGAUAACAAAUCUCAACUCCUCAGAAGAGAAGUCAAGUACUUAAAUGAGUCAGGUAGCUACCAGUAUCAAAACCAAGGCGGGUAGAUGGUAGUGAGGCUUGAUUCAGGUAGGUGAUGUCAAAGCUGAGUCAGGUAGGUGAUAUCAAAGCUGAGUCAGGUAGCAGUUACUGAGUCUGGUAAUAUCAAAGCUGACUCAGGUAGCAGGUACUGAGUCUGGUGAUAUCAAAGCUAACUUAGAUAGCUUGCUUCAAAGCUGAGUCGGGUAGCAGGUACUGAGUCUGGUAAUAUCAAAGCUAACUUGGAUUGCUUGCUUCAAAGCUGAGUCAGGUAGCAGGUACUGAGUCUGGUAAUAUCAAAGCUAACUCAGAUAGCUUGCUUCAAAGCUGAGUCGGGUAGCAGGUACUGAGUCUGGUGAUAUCAAAGCUAACUUAGAUAGCUUGCUUCAAAGCUGACUCAGGUAGCAGGUACUGAGUCUGGUAAUAUCAAAGCUAACUUAUAACUUUAUAUAUAUAAAGAGUGCUCGGUAUUCCUCAGUGAUAUACCUAUAUAUAUAUAAAGAGUGCUCGGUAUUCCUCAGUGAUAUACCUAUAUAUGUAUGAAGAGUGCUCGGUAUUCCUCAGUGAUAUACCUAUAGAUAUAUGAAGAGUGCUCGGUAUUCCUCCGUAAUAUACCUAUAUAUAUAUAAAGAGUGCUCGGUAUUCCACAGUGAUAUACCUAUAUAUGUAUGAAGAGUGCUGGGUAU